This 407-nucleotide ribosomal RNA is filed under the name bacterium. RNAcentral describes it as "partial 16S ribosomal RNA". It matches the Rfam family "Bacterial small subunit ribosomal RNA", at positions 355 to 776 of the family's 1533-position model. The record is from RNAcentral.
UGGGGAAUAUUGGACAAUGGACCGAGAGUCUGAUCCAGCAAUUCUGUGUGCACGAUGAAGUUUUUCGGAAUGUAAAGUGCUUUCAGUUGGGAAGAAAGAAAUGACGGUACCAACAGAAGAAGUGACGGCUAAAUACGUGCCAGCAGCCGCGGUAAUACGUAUGUCACGAGCGUUAUCCGGAUUUAUUGGGCGUAAAGCGCGUCUAGGUGGUUAUGUAAGUCUGAUGUGAAAAUGCAGGGCUCAACUCUGUAUUGCGUUGGAAACUGUAUAACUAGAGUACUAGAGAGGUAAGCGGAACUACAAGUGUAGAGGUGAAAUUCGUAGAUAUUUGUAGGAAUGCCGAUGGGGAAGCCAGCUUACUGGACAGAUACUGACGCUAAAGCGCGAAAGCGUGGGUAGCAAACAGG